Molecule: ribosomal RNA, 401 nt
Filed under: uncultured bacterium
Lineage: Bacteria
Description: bacterial SSU rRNA
Rfam family: Bacterial small subunit ribosomal RNA
Source: RNAcentral
AGCGAACGUUAGCGGCGGGCUUAACACAUGCAAGUCGAGCGAGAACGGGGCUUCGGCCUCUAGUAAAGCGGCGGACGGGUGAGUAUCACGUAGGUAACCUUCCCUUGAGCGGGGGACAACGGUCCGAAAGGACCGCUAAUACCGCAUAAGUUCCCAGGGACUCCGGUCCCUGGGAGGAAAGCUAGGUAGCAAUAUCUGGCACUCCAGGCGGGGCCUACGCCGCAUCAGCUAGUUGGUGGGGUAACGGCCUACCAAGGCGAAGACGCGUAGCUGGUCUGAGAGGAUGAUCAGCCACACUGGGACUGAGACACGGCCCAGACUCCUACGGGAGGCAGCAGUGGGGAAUAUUGGACAAUGGGCGCAAGCCUGAUCCAGCCACGCCGCGUGAGUGAUGAAGGCCU